UUUGAUCAUGGCUCAGAUUGAACGCUGGCGGCAGGCCUAACACAUGCAAGUCGAACGGUAACAGGAAGCAGCUUGCUGCUUCGCUGACGAGUGGCGGACGGGUGAGUAAUGUCUGGGAAACUGCCUGGUGGAGGGGGAUAACUACUGGAAACGGUAGCUAAUACCGCAUAACGUCGCAAGACCAAAGAGGGGGACCUUCGGACCUCUUGCCAUCGGAUGUGCCCAGAUGGGAUUAGCUAGUAGGUGGGGUAACGG
RNAcentral lists this ribosomal RNA (255 nucleotides) under Escherichia coli. RNAcentral describes it as "partial 16S ribosomal RNA". It matches the Rfam family "Bacterial small subunit ribosomal RNA", at positions 12 to 263 of the family's 1533-position model. The record is from RNAcentral. Lineage: Bacteria; Pseudomonadati; Pseudomonadota; Gammaproteobacteria; Enterobacterales; Enterobacteriaceae.